RNAcentral lists this ribosomal RNA (301 nucleotides) under uncultured bacterium. Its description in RNAcentral is "partial 16S ribosomal RNA". It matches the Rfam family "Bacterial small subunit ribosomal RNA", at positions 509 to 809 of the family's 1533-position model. The record is from RNAcentral.
CAGCCGCCGCGGGAAAACAGAGGAUGCAAGCGUUAUCCGGAAUGAUUGGGCGUAAAGGGCGCGUAGGCGGACAGUUCAGUCGGGGGUGAAAGCCCGGGGCUCAACCUCGGAAUUGCCUUCGAUACUGGCUGUCUUGAGUAUGAGAGAGGUGUGUGGAACUCCGAGUGUAGAGGUGAAAUUCGUAGAUAUUCGGAAGAACACCAGUGGCGAAGGCGACACACUGGCUCAUUACUGACGCUGAGGCGCGAAAGCGUGGGGAGCAAACAGGAUUAGAUACCCGCGUAGUCCCUGUCUCUUAUAA